RNAcentral lists this ribosomal RNA (253 nucleotides) under uncultured bacterium. RNAcentral's name for it is "partial 16S ribosomal RNA". It matches the Rfam family "Bacterial small subunit ribosomal RNA", at positions 524 to 776 of the family's 1533-position model. The record is from RNAcentral.
UACGUAGGGGGCGAGCGUUGUCCGGAAUCAUUGGGCGUAAAGAGCGUGUAGGCGGCCCGGUAAGUCCGCUGUAAAAGUCAAAGGCUCAACCUUUGAAUGUCAGUGGAUACUGCCGGGCUAGAGUCCGGAAGAGGCGAGUGGAACUCCUGGUGUAGCGGUGGAAUGCGCAGAUAUCAGGAAGAACACCAACGGCGAAGGCAGCUCGCUGGGACGGUACUGACGCUGAGACGCGAAAGCGUGGGGAGCGAACAGG